UACAGAGGGGGCAAGCGUUGUUCGGAAUUACUGGGCGUAAAGGGCGCGUAGGCGGCCUGUUAAGUCGAACGUGAAAUCCCCGGGCUCAACCCGGGAACUGCGUCCGAAACUGGCAGGCUCGAAUUCGGGAGAGGGAUGCGGAAUUCCAGGUGUAGCGGUGAAAUGCGUAGAGAUGUGGAGGAACACCAAUGGCGAAGGCAGCCUUCUGGGCCAACACUGACGCUCAUGCACGAAAGCGUGGGGAGCAAACAGG
This 253-nucleotide ribosomal RNA is filed under the name uncultured bacterium. RNAcentral describes it as "partial 16S ribosomal RNA". It matches the Rfam family "Bacterial small subunit ribosomal RNA", at positions 524 to 776 of the family's 1533-position model. The record is from RNAcentral.